UGAAUCCAUUCAGCAUCAGUCAACUUGGGACUUUGAGGGUGCUAUUUCUCUUUCGUUUCUUUCUUUCUUUUUUUUCUUUUUGUUCUUUUGAUUUCGAUUUCUUUUGAUUUUGCACCCUCCUCUUUCUUUUCUUUUUUUGGUUUUUUUUUCAUUUUUUUCAUUUUUUUUUUGUAAUGCCCCAGUUGGCUGUUCUGCUGAUUCUCGAGAUGCAGCUAAGUGGUCUUCUUUUCUUGCUCAAGAAGUCGGGAAAUCUCGUCAGGAAUCCCUUCAACAUCCUCUUCUUCCGCUUCGAAUACAGGGAAUUUCAAAAUUGGGAGAUGACGUCGGAUCAUUAUGUUCAAUGGGUUUAAGAAUCGACCUGCAUAAUGAUUUUGAUAUGAAAAG
This 384-nucleotide long non-coding RNA is filed under the name Lathyrus oleraceus (garden pea). Its description in RNAcentral is "Pisum sativum (pea) long non-coding RNA (PSAT_LNC041992)". Lineage: Eukaryota; Viridiplantae; Streptophyta; Magnoliopsida; Fabales; Fabaceae. The record is from RNAcentral.